UGCCAGCCGCCGCGGUAAUACGGAGGGUGCAAGCGUUAUCCGGAAUUAUUGGGUUUAAAGGGUGCGUAGGCGGAAAUUUAAGUCAGUGGUGAAAGCCUACAGCUCAACUGUAGAAUUGCCAUUGAUACUGAAUCUCUUGAAUCUAAUUGAAGUAGGCGGAAUAUGACAUGUAGCGGUGAAAUGCUUAGAUAUGUCAUAGAACACCGAUAGCGAAGGCAGCUUACUAAACUAUUAUUGACGCUGAGGCACGAAAGCGUGGGGAGCGAACAGGAUUAGAUA
This 279-nucleotide ribosomal RNA is filed under the name uncultured bacterium. RNAcentral describes it as "partial 16S ribosomal RNA". It matches the Rfam family "Bacterial small subunit ribosomal RNA", at positions 506 to 784 of the family's 1533-position model. The record is from RNAcentral.